GGCAGGGGGAAGGAACUUCUGCAGUAUAGGAAGGGGCUUCUGCAGCUGAUGAUGAGGAGACUGUGUCACUGUACUCCAGAAGGCCUGAGGAUCCAGACGCAGUAGGCUACAGCCUGGCAGCCAGCCUGGCAACAUAGUAAGUAUGGGCUAAAGGAAAUCUAAAUCAUGCACAAUUCCUGCUGUGCUAAUCAAUGGGUGGUUUAUAGAAUUCACAAACUGUCAGAUGUCUCUACUCAACAUCUGAAAAAGCUAAUUGAGCUGGCAGAUGCACAGAUUGCGGUCAGUAAAGGUCUCCAGGAUCUAGACCUUGGUAUUGAAAUCAAGAAGAAAACACUGAGGAAACUGUAUCUGGAGAUAAAGAAA
Hypomesus transpacificus is the source of this 363-nucleotide long non-coding RNA. RefSeq lists it as uncharacterized. Lineage: Eukaryota; Metazoa; Chordata; Actinopteri; Osmeriformes; Osmeridae. The transcript is spliced from 2 exons. The record is from RefSeq and is a predicted model, not a curated record.